GAUGAACGCUAGCUACAGGCUUAACACAUGCAAGUCGAGGGGAAACGAUAGAGAAAGCUUGCUUUUUCUAGGCGUCGACCGGCGCACGGGUGAGUAACGCGUAUCCAACCUGCCCAUCACUUGGGGAUAACCUUGCGAAAGUAAGACUAAUACCCAAUGACGUCUCUAGAAGACAUCUGAAAGAGAUUAAAGAUUUAUCGGUGAUGGAUGGGGAUGCGUCUGAUUAGCUUGUUGGCGGGGUAACGGCCCACCAAGGCGUCGCUCAGUAGGGGUUCUGGGAGGAAGGUCCCCCACAUUGGAACUGAGACACGGUCCAAACUCCUACGGGAGGCAGCAGUGAGGAAUAUUGGUCAAUGGGCGAGAGCUUGAACCAGCCAAGUAGCGUGCAGGAUGACGGCCCUAUGGGUUGUAAACUGCUUUUAUAAGGGAAUAAAGUGGGAGUCGUGACUCUUUUUGCAUGUACCUUAUGAAUAAGGACCGGCUAAUUCCGUGCCAGCCGCCGCGGUAA
This 508-nucleotide ribosomal RNA is filed under the name uncultured bacterium. RNAcentral's name for it is "partial 16S ribosomal RNA". It matches the Rfam family "Bacterial small subunit ribosomal RNA", at positions 28 to 523 of the family's 1533-position model. The record is from RNAcentral.